Sodiomyces alkalinus F11 is the source of this 72-nucleotide non-coding RNA. Lineage: Eukaryota; Fungi; Ascomycota; Sordariomycetes; Glomerellales; Plectosphaerellaceae. The record is from the annotation of a RefSeq genome assembly.
GUCUAUAUAGUAUAACGGUAUACUACUAACUAUUUUAUUUAGAGCUUAUAGGUUCGAAUCCUAUUAUAGGCA